AUGGCCGCCGCCGCCGCCGCGGAUGAGCCGUGCCGCUGCCACAUUGUGGCGGUGCCGUUCCCCGGGAGGGGCCACGUCAACGCCAUGAUGAACCUGUCCCGCCUCCUCGCCGCGCGCGGCGCCGCGGUCACCUUCGUCGUCACCGAGGAGUGGCUCGGCCUGCUCCGCUCCUCCUCCUCCUCCGCCCCGCCGCCGCCCGGCGUCCGCCUGCGCGCCAUCCCCAACGUCAUCCCCUCCGAGCACGGCCGCGCCGCCGACCACGCGGGCUUCCUCGACGCCGUCGCCACCGAGAUGGAGGCGCCCUUCGAGCUCCUGCUCGACCGCCUCCGGGAGGAGGAGGGGGAGGUCGCGGCGCUCGUGGCGGACACCUACGUGCCCUGGGUCGUGGGCGUCGGCAACCGGAGGGGCGUCCCGGUCUGCUCGCUCUUCCCCAUGCCCGCCUCCUUCUUCUCCGCCUACUACCACUUUGACUCCCUCCCGCCGCGCCUCGCCGACGAGCACGCCCCGGCCGCCGGCGCCGCUACAGAUAAAUCUGAUGAGAGACUUGAGCACUAUAUCUCAGGCUUUGCUUCAAGUUCAGUGACCUUAUCUGAUCUGGAGCCCCUAAUUCACAACAAGACAACAGUAAACCAUGUCCUAGCAGCUGUCUCUAGCAUCAAGAACGCGCAAUGCCUCCUAUUCACCACUAUGCACGAGCUCGAGGCCGGUGUCAUCAACUCCCUAAGAUCAGCACUCCCAUGUCCAGUUCUCCCAGUUGGGCCCUGCAUUCCCUACAUGACACUACAAGACCAGCAUUCCAAGUCCAAUGGAGAAGUUGCCACCAGUCCAGGAGACUGCUUCACCUGGCUAGACUCUCAACCUGUGAACUCGGUGCUAUAUGUCUCCCUCGGCAGCUUCCUCUCUGUGUCAGCCUCCCAGCUUGAUGAGAUAGCAUUAGGCCUUGCAUCAAGCGGUGUCAGGUUCUUAUGGAUUCUUCGCGAAAAGUCUUCCCGGGUGCGAGAACUUGUUGGUGACACCGACAGGGGCAUGAUAAUGGCAUGGUGUGAUCAGUUGAAGGUUUUAUGCCAUCCUUCUGUUGGGGGCUUUCUGACACAUUGUGGAAUGAACUCGACACUUGAAGCUGUCUUUGCUGGCGUGCCUAUGCUUGCUCUACCACUGUUCUUUGAUCAACCGAUUGAUGGUCGUCUGAUUGUUGAAGACUGGAAGGUUGGACUGGCCCUGCGCGAAUGGGCCGAUAAGGAUGGCCUGAUUGGGAGUCAGGACAUUGCAAGGGCUGUUAAGAGGCUCAUGGCCUGUGAUGAGUCCGAUACCAAGGCGAUAAGGAGGCGUGCCCUUGAGUGGAAAGAGGUCUGUGGCAGAGCUGUUGAAGAGGGUGGAUCUUCGUAUGAUAAUCUCAGUUCAUUGAUGCAGAUGGUAUGCGAGUCACGAUGUGCUGAACUCGAUCAGCAAUGUUCCAAAACUGAUGCUUGA
This 1470-nucleotide ribosomal RNA is filed under the name Triticum aestivum (bread wheat). RNAcentral's name for it is "partial small subunit ribosomal RNA". Lineage: Eukaryota; Viridiplantae; Streptophyta; Magnoliopsida; Poales; Poaceae. The record is from RNAcentral.